GGGCCCGCACAAGCGGAGGAACAUGUGGUUUAAUUCGAUGAUACGCGAGGAACCUUACCCGGGCUUGAAUUGCAGGAGAACGAUCCAGAGAUGGUGAGGUCCUUCGGGACUCCUGUGAAGGUGCUGCAUGGUUGUCGUCAGCUCGUGCCGUGAGGUGUCGGCUUAAGUGCCAUAACGAGCGCAACCCCUUUCUUCAGUUGCCAUCAGGUGAUGCUGGGCACUCUGUGGAUACUGCCGCCGUAAGGUGUGAGGAAGGUGGGGAUGACGUCAAAUCAGCACGGCCCUUACGUCCGGGGCUACACACGUGUUACAAUGGGGUGUACAGCGAGUCGGCCGCGCGCAAGUGCGGUCCAAUCCUUAAAACGCCUCUCAGUUCGGACUGGGGUCUGCAACCCGACCCCACGAAGCUGGAUUCGCUAGUAAUCGCGCAUCAGCCAUGGCGCGGUGAAUACGUUCCCGGGCCUU
This 465-nucleotide ribosomal RNA is filed under the name uncultured bacterium. RNAcentral describes it as "bacterial SSU rRNA". It matches the Rfam family "Bacterial small subunit ribosomal RNA", at positions 917 to 1382 of the family's 1533-position model. The record is from RNAcentral.